This 468-nucleotide ribosomal RNA is filed under the name uncultured bacterium. Its description in RNAcentral is "partial 16S ribosomal RNA". It matches the Rfam family "Bacterial small subunit ribosomal RNA", at positions 28 to 507 of the family's 1533-position model. The record is from RNAcentral.
GACGAACGCUGACGGCGUGCUUAACACAUGCAAGUCGAACGGAAAGGCCCUGCUUUUGUGGGGUGCUCGAGUGGCGAACGGGUGAGUAACACGUGAGUAACCUGCCCUUGACUUUGGGAUAACUUCAGGAAACUGGGGCUAAUACCGGAUAGGAGCUCCUGCUGCAUGGUGGGGGUUGGAAAGUUUCGGCGGUUGGGGAUGGACUCGCGGCUUAUCAGCUUGUUGGUGGGGUAGUGGCUUACCAAGGCUUUGACGGGUAGCCGGCCUGAGAGGGUGACCGGCCACAUUGGGACUGAGAUACGGCCCAGACUCAUACGGGAGGCAGCAGUGGGGAAUAUUGCACAAUGGGCGGAAGCCUGAUGCAGCAACGCCGCGUGCGGGAUGACGGCCUUCGGGUUGUAAACCGCUUUCGCCUGUGACGAAGCGUGAGUGACGGUAAUGGGUAAAGAAGCACCGGCUAACUACGUG